UUUUUAAUCUAUCAGUAGAGUUGGGCUUCGGGCCCGUUCCUUGCUUCCUGCGAAAACAUCAGAAGGCGUCACCCCGCUAAACCUAAUUUCCGCCUCCAUUCAUCUCAGUAUGAUCUCGACGAUGAUCGUUUACCCUCUCCCUGUAACGUAUCUCGACUUUAAUGGCAUUAAUACAUACGCCCAGUACGAGCCCUUCAAUGCGGCGUUCCGUCUGCGAGAUCCAAGUUAUAAAUAGGGUGUUUUUUUUCUGAUUUGAAAAUCGGGAAGUGUUCAUUGGUUGUGGAGGCUAGGCUGCUGAGAUACUGGGAGGCUAGGAAAGCAUGGUGGAGAGCUUAUGUGGGUGGAUAUGCUUUUGGUCGAUGUUAAUGAACCAAAAAGGUGGUGGUGGCGGAAAGGUCGGUGUUGGUGGAACUACUUCCGCCGCCGGCUACGCUUCUACAAACGACGCCGUUGACUACUACCUCAAGUCUCGCGGCUUCAAACAGCCUCUUCUCUCAGAUCGAGUUAUCGUUCUCUGCUUCCAAUUUACGAGACCGUGACUUGAUGUCAAAGAGGUUGUUUUGAAUUCUCUGAAUCCUAAAUGGAUUAAGAAGAUCACACUCUCUUAUCAGUUUGAGCUGGUCCAGACAUUCCUUUUCAAAACUCAAAGGAGGAGAUGCUUAAGCUCGAUGAGCAGCAGUUUCUCGGCGAUGCAACCUGUACAUCGUCUGAGGGAUCUAUCUAUUAUCCACUGCUGAACAUGUACAUUGAUAAACUGAACUGUGUCCUUAUUAGAUUAAGUUAGAAGAAACCAAUACUGCUUAAGCUAUAGUUUUGUUUUAUUAUAAAGAAACCAUAACCUAUGGCAGAAACAAUGGUUAUUAGUUCUGAUGAGGGAGCUCUACCUCAUAAUGGGUUUUAAGCUAGAGCUUUUGUUUGUGAUAGUUCUGAUGUUUUUAUUACAUUGUUUUGCACAGAUGGAUUUUCAAUCUUAACGAACUAUAGAAACUAUUAAUAUUCAGUGUGAGUAUAUGGAUGUGAGGACUUGACAGAAACACAAGUAGAAGAGUAAAGUACAACUAUUCGUGUGGAAGGAUGAAGAAUGUUUAAUCAUGUUUUGUUAUGUUAUGUACUUUUCCGUUUAAUUAUGUUUUGUGGAAUUCUUAGUUCACUCAGCCAUGUUAUGCAUUUUGUUAUGCUUCA
Molecule: long non-coding RNA, 1182 nt
Organism: Brassica napus (rape)
Lineage: Eukaryota; Viridiplantae; Streptophyta; Magnoliopsida; Brassicales; Brassicaceae
Exons: 7
Source: RefSeq, a predicted model, not a curated record